UAUCUCUUAAGUCUCCUGCAUUGAAGCUACUGAGCCUACACCGCAACUAACAAAGCCCACACACUGCUACUACUGAGCCUGCACGCUGCUGCUACUGAAACCCGUGUACCUAGAGUAUGCGCUCCACCAACAAGAGAGGACACUGCAGUGAGAAGCCCGCACACUGCAAUGAAGAGUAGCCCCACUCACUGCAACAGAGAAAACCCCCAGGCAGCAAGAAGAUCCUAGUGCAACCACAAGAAAAAAAUUAAGAAAAUUUUUAAAAGACUACCUGCAAGAUGAAUAUUUGAUGAACAAUGACUGAUCAUUCAAUGGCAUCUAUGGGACAACCAGAAAUACACUUUAAAUCCAAAGGGAACAUAUUCCAGGAUAUGUCACAUUCUGCCUCAGUAUCCCUCUUUCCUCCUGAUGCUGUCUCAGAUGGAGUUACAGUCAGGCAGUGUACUUCUCCUUUUUUGUCAUCUGUCCUGUAAGCCUCCUCCUGGGAACACAGAUAGCAGUCAACAUGCGGGGCUGAGAACGUCUGGCCACACACCCUAAGCCUCAGCAUGACUCAGCA
Bos taurus (domestic cattle) is the source of this 559-nucleotide long non-coding RNA. The record is from Ensembl. Lineage: Eukaryota; Metazoa; Chordata; Mammalia; Artiodactyla; Bovidae.